This 475-nucleotide ribosomal RNA is filed under the name uncultured bacterium. RNAcentral's name for it is "SSU rRNA". It matches the Rfam family "Bacterial small subunit ribosomal RNA", at positions 26 to 518 of the family's 1533-position model. The record is from RNAcentral.
AGGACGAACGCUGGCGGCGUGCUUAACACAUGCAAGUCGAGCGGAAAGGCCCUUCGGGGUACUCGAGCGGCGAACGGGUGAGUAACACGUGAGUAAUCUGCCCCUAGCUCUGGGAUAGCUCCGGGAAACCGGGAUUAAUACCGGAUACGACCACUUUAGACAUCUGUUGUGGUGGAAAGAAUUUUGGCUAGGGAUGAGCUCGCGGCCUAUCAGCUUGUUGGUGGGGUAAUGGCCUACCAAGGCGACGACGGGUAGCCGGCCUGAGAGGGCGACCGGCCACACUGGGACUGAGACACGGCCCAGACUCCUACGGGAGGCAGCAGUGGGGAAUAUUGCGCAAUGGGCGAAAGCCUGACGCAGCGACGCCGCGUGGGGGAUGGAAGGCCUUCGGGUUGUAAACCCCUUUCAGCAGGGACGAAGCGAAAGUGACGGUACCUGCAGAAGAAGCGCCGGCUAACUACGCGCCAGCAGCCGC